Molecule: ribosomal RNA, 255 nt
Filed under: uncultured bacterium
Lineage: Bacteria
Description: partial 16S ribosomal RNA
Rfam family: Bacterial small subunit ribosomal RNA
Source: RNAcentral
UACGUAGGGGGCGAGCGUUGUCCGGAUUUACUGGGCGUAAAGGGCGCGCAGGUGGCCUCGUCAGUCCGUCGUGAAAGCCCUGGGCUCAACUCGGGGUGGUCGGCGGGGACGGCGGGGCUUUGGAGGCCGGUAGAGGAGCACGGAAUUCCCGGUGUAGUGGUGAAAUGCGUAGAGAUCGGGAGGAACACCAGUGGCGAAGGCGGUGCUCUGGGCCGGGCCUGACGCUGAGGCGCGAAAGCGUGGGGAGCGAACCGG